CAGCAGCCGCGGUAAUACGUAGGGUGCAAGCGUUAAUCGGAAUUACUGGGCGUAAAGCGUGCGCAGGCGGUUUUGUAAGACAGAGGUGAAAUCCCCGGGCUCAACCUGGGAACUGCCUUUGUGACUGCAAGGCUAGAGUACGGCAGAGGGGGAUGGAAUUCCGCGUGUAGCAGUGAAAUGCGUAGAUAUGCGGAGGAACACCGAUGGCGAAGGCAAUCCCCUGGGCCUGUACUGACGCUCAUGCACGAAAGCGUGGGGAGCAAACAGGAUUAGAGACCCCAGUAGUCCCUGUCUCUUAUAC
RNAcentral lists this ribosomal RNA (301 nucleotides) under uncultured bacterium. Its description in RNAcentral is "partial 16S ribosomal RNA". It matches the Rfam family "Bacterial small subunit ribosomal RNA", at positions 509 to 807 of the family's 1533-position model. The record is from RNAcentral.